GGUCAAGUGAAGAAGCGCAUACGGUGGAUGCCUUGGCAGUCAGAGGCGAUGAAAGACGUGGUAGCCUGCGAAAAGCUUCGGGGAGUCGGCAAACAGACUUUGAUCCGGAGAUGUCUGAAUGGGGGAACCCAGCCAUCAUAAGAUGGUUAUCUUGUACUGAAUACAUAGGUGCAAGAGGCGAACCAGGGGAACUGAAACAUCUAAGUACCCUGAGGAAAAGAAAUCAACCGAGAUUCCCUUAGUAGUGGCGAGCGAACGGGGACUAGCCCUUAAGUGGCUUUGAGAUUAGCGGAACGCUCUGGAAAGUGCGGCCAUAGUGGGUGAUAGCCCUGUACGCGAAAAUCUCUUAGUCAUGAAAUCGAGUAGGACGGAGCACGAGAAACUUUGUCUGAAUAUGGGGGGACCAUCCUCCAAGGCUAAAUACUACUGACUGACCGAUAGUGAACUAGUACCGUGAGGGAAAGGCGAAAAGAACCCCGGAGAGGGGAGUGAAAUAGAUCCUGAAACCGUAUGCGUACAAGCAGUGGGAGCCUACUUUGUUAGGUGACUGCGUACCUUUUGUAUAAUGGGUCAGCGACUUAUUUUCAGUGGCGAGCUUAACCGAAUAGGGGAGGCGUAGCGAAAGCGAGUCUUAAUAGGGCGUCUAGUCGCUGGGAAUAGACCCGAAACCGGGCGAUCUAUCCAUGGGCAGGUUGAAGGUUGGGUAACACUAACUGGAGGACCGAACCGACUACCGUUGAAAAGUUAGCGGAUGACCUGUGGAUCGGAGUGAAAGGCUAAUCAAGCUCGGAGAUAGCUGGUUCUCCUCGAAAGCUAUUUAGGUAGCGCCUCAUGUAUCACUGUAGGGGGUAGAGCACUGUUUCGGCUAGGGGGUCAUCCCGACUUACCAAACCGAUGCAAACUCCGAAUACCUACAAGUGCCGAGCAUGGGAGACACACGGCGGGUGCUAACGUCCGUCGUGAAAAGGGAAACAACCCAGACCGUCAGCUAAGGUCCCAAAGUUAUGGUUAAGUGGGAAACGAUGUGGGAAGGCUUAGACAGCUAGGAGGUUGGCUUAGAAGCAGCCACCCUUUAAAGAAAGCGUAAUAGCUCACUAGUCGAGUCGGCCUGCGCGGAAGAUGUAACGGGGCUCAAACCAUACACCGAAGCUACGGGUAUCACGUAAGUGAUGCGGUAGAGGAGCGUUCUGUAAGCCUGUGAAGGUGAGUUGAGAAGCUUGCUGGAGGUAUCAGAAGUGCGAAUGCUGACAUGAGUAACGACAAUGGGUGUGAAAAACACCCACGCCGAAAGACCAAGGUUUCCUGCGCAACGUUAAUCGACGCAGGGUUAGUCGGUCCCUAAGGCGAGGCUGAAAAGCGUAGUCGAUGGAAAACAGGUUAAUAUUCCUGUACUUCUGGUUAUUGCGAUGGAGGGACGGAGAAGGCUAGGCCAGCUUGGCGUUGGUUGUCCAAGUUUAAGGUGGUAGGCUGAGAUCUUAGGUAAAUCCGGGAUCUUAAGGCCGAGAGCUGAUGACGAGUUAUCUUUUAGAUGACGAAGUGGUUGAUGCCAUGCUUCCAAGAAAAGCUUCUAAGCUUCAGGUAACCAGGAACCGUACCCCAAACCGACACAGGUGGUUGGGUAGAGAAUACCAAGGCGCUUGAGAGAACUCGGGUGAAGGAACUAGGCAAAAUGGCACCGUAACUUCGGGAGAAGGUGCGCCGGUGAGGGUGAAGGACUUGCUCCGUAAGCUCAUGCCGGUCGAAGAUACCAGGCCGCUGCGACUGUUUAUUAAAAACACAGCACUCUGCAAACACGAAAGUGGACGUAUAGGGUGUGACGCCUGCCCGGUGCCGGAAGGUUAAUUGAUGGGGUUAGCUAACGCGAAGCUCUUGAUCGAAGCCCCGGUAAACGGCGGCCGUAACUAUAACGGUCCUAAGGUAGCGAAAUUCCUUGUCGGGUAAGUUCCGACCUGCACGAAUGGCGUAACGAUGGCGGCGCUGUCUCCACCCGAGACUCAGUGAAAUUGAAAUCGCUGUGAAGAUGCAGUGUAUCCGCGGCUAGACGGAAAGACCCCGUGAACCUUUACUAUAGCUUUGCACUGGACUUUGAAUUUGCUUGUGUAGGAUAGGUGGGAGGCUUUGAAGCGUGGACGCCAGUUCGCGUGGAGCCAUCCUUGAAAUACCACCCUGGCAACUUUGAGGUUCUAACUCAGGUCCGUUAUCCGGAUCGAGGACAGUGUAUGGUGGGUAGUUUGACUGGGGCGGUCUCCUCCUAAAGAGUAACGGAGGAGUACGAAGGUGCGCUCAGACCGGUCGGAAAUCGGUCGUAGAGUAUAAAGGCAAAAGCGCGCUUGACUGCGAGACAGACACGUCGAGCAGGUACGAAAGUAGGUCUUAGUGAUCCGGUGGUUCUGUAUGGAAGGGCCAUCGCUCAACGGAUAAAAGGUACUCCGGGGAUAACAGGCUGAUACCGCCCAAGAGUUCAUAUCGACGGCGGUGUUUGGCACCUCGAUGUCGGCUCAUCACAUCCUGGGGCUGAAGCCGGUCCCAAGGGUAUGGCUGUUCGCCAUUUAAAGUGGUACGCGAGCUGGGUUUAGAACGUCGUGAGACAGUUCGGUCCCUAUCUGCCGUGGACGUUUGAGAUUUGAGAGGGGCUGCUCCUAGUACGAGAGGACCGGAGUGGACGAACCUCUGGUGUUCCGGUUGUCACGCCAGUGGCAUCGCCGGGUAGCUAUGUUCGGAAUAGAUAACCGCUGAAAGCAUCUAAGCGGGAAACUAGCCUCAAGAUGAGAUCUCACUGGAACCUUGAGUUCCCUGAAGGGCCGUCGAAGACUACGACGUUGAUAGGUUGGGUGUGUAAGCGCUGUGAGGCGUUGAGCUAACCAAUACUAAUUGCCCGUGAGGCUUGACCAU
RNAcentral lists this ribosomal RNA (2892 nucleotides) under Pseudomonas sp. DR208. RNAcentral's name for it is "23S ribosomal RNA". It matches the Rfam family "Bacterial large subunit ribosomal RNA". The record is from RNAcentral. Lineage: Bacteria; Pseudomonadati; Pseudomonadota; Gammaproteobacteria; Pseudomonadales; Pseudomonadaceae.